UGAUGCAGCAACGCCGCGUGAGGGAUGACGGCCUUCGGGUUGUAAACCUCUUUUAGUAGGGAAGAAGGGCUUCGGCUUGACGGUACCUGCAGAAAAAGCACCGGCUAACUACGUGCCAGCAGCCGCGGUAAUACGUAGGGUGCGAGCGUUGUCCGGAAUUAUUGGGCGUAAAGAGCUCGUAGGCGGUUUGUCACGUCUGCUGUGAAAUCCCGAGGCUCAACCUCGGGCCUGCAGUGGGUACGGGCAGACUGGAGUGCGGUAGGGGAGAUUGGAAUUCCUGGUGUAGCGGUGGAAUGCGCAGAUAUCAGGAGGAACACCGAUGGCGAAGGCAGAUCUCUGGGCCGUAACUGACGCUGAGGAGCGAAAGCGUGGGGAGCGAACAGGAUUAGAUACCCUGGUAGUCCACGCCGUAAACGUUGGGCGCUAGAUGUGGGGACCAUUCCACGGUUUCCGUGUCGUAGCUAACGCAUUAAGCGCCCCGCCUGGGGAGUACGGCCGCAAGGCUAAAACUCAAAGGAAUUGACGGGGGCCCGCACAAGCGGCGGAGCAUGCGGAUUAAUUCGAUGCAACGCGAAGAACCUUACCAAGGCUUGACAUAUACGAGAACGCCGCAGAAAUGUGGAACUCUUUGGACACUCGUAUACAGGUGGUGCAUGGUUGUCGUCAGCUCGUGUCGUGAGAUGUUGGGUUAAGUCCCGCAACGAGCGCAACCCUCGUCGUAUGUUGCCAGCACGUAAUGGUGGGAACUCAUAUGAGACUGCCGGGGUCAACUCGGAGGAAGGUGGGGAUGACGUCAAAUCAUCAUGCCCCUUAUGUCUUGGGCUUCACGCAUGCUACAAUGGCCGGUACAAAGGGCUGCGAUGUCGUAAGGCGGAGCGAAUCCCAAAAAGCCGGUCUCAGUUCGGAUUGAGGUCUGCAACUCGACCUCAUGAAGUCGGAGUCGCUAGUAAUCGCAGAUCAGCAACGCUGCGGUGAAUACGUUCCCGGGCCUUGUACACACCGCCCGUCAAGUCAUGAAAGUCGGUAACACCCGAAGCCGGUGGCCUAACCCUUGUGGAGGGAGCCGUCGAAG
Molecule: ribosomal RNA, 1072 nt
Filed under: Agromyces sp.
Lineage: Bacteria; Bacillati; Actinomycetota; Actinomycetes; Micrococcales; Microbacteriaceae
Description: bacterial SSU rRNA
Rfam family: Bacterial small subunit ribosomal RNA
Source: RNAcentral